Molecule: unclassified non-coding RNA, 504 nt
Filed under: Hevea brasiliensis (rubber tree)
Lineage: Eukaryota; Viridiplantae; Streptophyta; Magnoliopsida; Malpighiales; Euphorbiaceae
Source: RNAcentral
GCAAUGAAGUUAGCCAACAUCAUCGUAGGAGCAUGACAAUAGGAUCCCAACAAUGCAAUAGCGAUACCACAUAGGAAUACUGUGACACCACAAAUUGGAAAUACCCCAAAGGUGAUACCGAGAGCCGCAGAGAACGCCAACAGUUUUGGCUCUGCUCCCCUUUGGAGGAUGUGAUAAAGAGGAUCAACAAUCUUGUUACGAGUCCAAGAACCAAUUUUUGAUACAAUCUGAUUAACCAUCUUGUGUCCUCUCCUCUUCCUCACUCUUUCUUCACUUUCAACCUUCAAUUAUGUAAUUCAACACCAACCCAAAUCGACAAACACAGUUAUAAAGAGCAAAACAAUUGAUUCACAGGUAAGCUCAGUAGGUGGUGGAUCAUGUAGGCUUCGUUAGAACAGGGAAAAAAGGGGUCGAAAUGUGAACAAAUUUGAAACAAUAAACUUUGUGGAUAUUCUUAUCUUUUGGGUUUCUUUUUACGUUUUUCAAAGAGAAUUAAAUAUAGGU